This 487-nucleotide ribosomal RNA is filed under the name uncultured bacterium. RNAcentral describes it as "bacterial SSU rRNA". It matches the Rfam family "Archaeal small subunit ribosomal RNA", at positions 724 to 1208 of the family's 1478-position model. The record is from RNAcentral.
AGGGAAUAGAUACCCGGGUAGUCCUAGCCGUAAACGAUACUCGCUAGGUGUCGGCCACGGUGCGACCGUGGUCGGUGCCGUAGGGAAAGCCGUGAAGCGAGCCACCUGGGAAGUACGGCCGCAAGGCUGAAACUUAAAGGAAUUGGCGGGGGAGCACUACAACGGGUGGAGCUUGCGGUUUAAUUGGAUUCAACGCCGGAAAUCUCACCGGGACCGACAGCAAUAUGAAGGCCAGGCUGAAGACCUUGCCCGAUUAGCUGAGAGGUGGUGCAUGGCCGUCGUCAGUUCGUACUGUGAAAGCAUCCUGUUAAGUCAGGCAACGAGCGAGACCCACGCCCACAGUUGCCAGCGUACUCUCAGGAGUGACGGGUACACUGUGGGGACCGCCGCUGCUAAAGCGGAGGAAGGAAUGGGCAACGGUAGGUCAGUAUGCCCCGAAUAUCCCGGGCUACACGCGAGCUACAAUGGCUGGUACAAUGGGUAUCUA